UCCGGUUUGUCACCGGCAGUCUCAUUAGAGUGCUCAACUAAAUGGUAGCAACUAGAGACGAGGGUUGCGCUCGUUGCGGGACUUAACCCAACAUCUCACGACACGAGCUGACGACAGCCAUGCAGCACCUGUCACUCGGUUCCCGAAGGCACCCCCGCAUCUCUGCAGGGUUCCGAGGAUGUCAAGGCCAGGUAAGGUUCUUCGCGUUGCAUCGAAUUAAACCACAUGCUCCACCGCUUGUGCGGGCCCCCGUCAAUUUCUUUGAGUUUUAAUCUUGCGACCGUACUUCCCAGGCGGCAUAUUUAUCGCGUUGGCUACGCCACAAAAGGGGUCGAUUCCUUUUACAGCAAAUAUGCACCGUUUACAGCUAGGACUAC
RNAcentral lists this unclassified non-coding RNA (377 nucleotides) under uncultured bacterium. Its description in RNAcentral is "contains 16S-23S intergenic spacer region". The record is from RNAcentral.